This 301-nucleotide ribosomal RNA is filed under the name uncultured bacterium. Its description in RNAcentral is "partial 16S ribosomal RNA". It matches the Rfam family "Bacterial small subunit ribosomal RNA", at positions 509 to 807 of the family's 1533-position model. The record is from RNAcentral.
CAGCCGCCGCGGGAAUACGUAGGGUGCAAGCGUUAAUCGGAAUUACUGGGCGUAAAGCGUGCGCAGGCGGUUUUGUAAGACAGAGGUGAAAUCCCCGGGCUCAACCUGGGAACUGCCUUUGUGACUGCAAGGCUAGAGUACGGCAGAGGGGGAUGGAAUUCCGCGUGUAGCAGUGAAAUGCGUAGAUAUGCGGAGGAACACCGAUGGCGAAGGCAAUCCCCUGGACCUGUACUGACGCUCAUGCACGAAAGCGUGGGGAGCAAACAGGAUUAGAUACCCGCGUAGUCCCUGUCUCUUAUAC